GACGAAGGGGGCAAGCGUUGUUCGGAAUUACUGGGCGUAAAGGGCGCGUAGGCGGUUCUUUAAGUCAGGCGUGAAAGCCCUGGGCUCAACCUGGGAGUGGCGCUUGAUACUGGAGGACUAGAGAGUGGGAGAGGUUGGUGGAAUUCCCAGUGUAGAGGUGAAAUUCGUAGAGAUCGGGAGGAACAUCAGUGGCGAAGGCGGCCAUCUGGGACAACACUGACGCUGAAGCACGAAAGCGUGGGGAGCAAACAGG
RNAcentral lists this ribosomal RNA (253 nucleotides) under uncultured bacterium. RNAcentral describes it as "partial 16S ribosomal RNA". It matches the Rfam family "Bacterial small subunit ribosomal RNA", at positions 524 to 776 of the family's 1533-position model. The record is from RNAcentral.